RNAcentral lists this ribosomal RNA (682 nucleotides) under bacterium 14W422. Its description in RNAcentral is "bacterial SSU rRNA". It matches the Rfam family "Bacterial small subunit ribosomal RNA", at positions 41 to 721 of the family's 1533-position model. The record is from RNAcentral.
GGGGGGCUUACCUGCAGUCGAGCGGGGAGGGGUAGCUUGCUACCUUUCCUAGCGGCGGACGGGUGAGUAAUGCUUAGGAAUCUGCCUAUUAGUGGGGGACAACAUUCCGAAAGGAAUGCUAAUACCGCAUACGCCCUACGGGGGAAAGCAGGGGAUCUUCGGACCUUGCGCUAAUAGAUGAGCCUAAGUCAGAUUAGCUAGUUGGUGGGGUAAAGGCCUACCAAGGCGACGAUCUGUAGCGGGUCUGAGAGGAUGAUCCGCCACACUGGGACUGAGACACGGCCCAGACUCCUACGGGAGGCAGCAGUGGGGAAUAUUGGACAAUGGGCGAAAGCCUGAUCCAGCCAUGCCGCGUGUGUGAAGAAGGCCUUUUGGUUGUAAAGCACUUUAAGCGAGGAGGAGGCUACCGAGAUUAAUACUCUUGGAUAGUGGACGUUACUCGCAGAAUAAGCACCGGCUAACUCUGUGCCAGCAGCCGCGGUAAUACAGAGGGUGCGAGCGUUAAUCGGAUUUACUGGGCGUAAAGCGUGCGUAGGCGGCUUUUUAAGUCGGAUGUGAAAUCCCUGAGCUUAACUUAGGAAUUGCAUUCGAUACUGGGAAGCUAGAGUAUGGGAGAGGAUGGUAGAAUUCCAGGUGUAGCGGUGAAAUGCGUAGAGAUCUGGAGGAAUACCGAUGGCGAAGG